This 2435-nucleotide ribosomal RNA is filed under the name Staphylococcus aureus. Its description in RNAcentral is "partial 23S ribosomal RNA". It matches the Rfam family "Bacterial large subunit ribosomal RNA", at positions 400 to 2841 of the family's 2925-position model. The record is from RNAcentral. Lineage: Bacteria; Bacillati; Bacillota; Bacilli; Caryophanales; Staphylococcaceae.
AGUGGAUCCUGAGUACGACGGAGCACGUGAAAUUCCGUCGGAAUCUGGGAGGACCAUCUCCUAAGGCUAAAUACUCUCUAGUGACCGAUAGUGAACCAGUACCGUGAGGGAAAGGUGAAAAGCACCCCGGAAGGGGAGUGAAAUAGAACCUGAAACCGUGUGCUUACAAGUAGUCAGAGCCCGUUAAUGGGUGAUGGCGUGCCUUUUGUAGAAUGAACCGGCGAGUUACGAUUUGAUGCAAGGUUAAGCAGUAAAUGUGGAGCCGUAGCGAAAGCGAGUCUGAAUAGGGCGUUUAGUAUUUGGUCGUAGACCCGAAACCAGGUGAUCUACCCUUGGUCAGGUUGAAGUUCAGGUAACACUGAAUGGAGGACCGAACCGACUUACGUUGAAAAGUGAGCGGAUGAACUGAGGGUAGCGGAGAAAUUCCAAUCGAACCUGGAGAUAGCUGGUUCUCUCCGAAAUAGCUUUAGGGCUAGCCUCAAGUGAUGAUUAUUGGAGGUAGAGCACUGUUUGGACGAGGGGCCCCUCUCGGGUUACCGAAUUCAGACAAACUCCGAAUGCCAAUUAAUUUAACUUGGGAGUCAGAACAUGGGUGAUAAGGUCCGUGUUCGAAAGGGAAACAGCCCAGACCACCAGCUAAGGUCCCAAAAUAUAUGUUAAGUGGAAAAGGAUGUGGCGUUGCCCAGACAACUAGGAUGUUGGCUUAGAAGCAGCCAUCAUUUAAAGAGUGCGUAAUAGCUCACUAGUCGAGUGACACUGCGCCGAAAAUGUACCGGGGCUAAACAUAUUACCGAAGCUGUGGAUUGUCCUUUGGACAAUGGUAGGAGAGCGUUCUAAGGGCGUUGAAGCAUGAUCGUAAGGACAUGUGGAGCGCUUAGAAGUGAGAAUGCCGGUGUGAGUAGCGAAAGACGGGUGAGAAUCCCGUCCACCGAUUGACCAAGGUUUCCAGAGGAAGGCUCGUCCGCUCUGGGUUAGUCGGGUCCUAAGCUGAGGCCGACAGGCGUAAGCGAUGGAUAACAGGUUGAUAUUCCUGUACCACCUAUAAUCGUUUUAAUCGAUGGGGGGACGCAGUAGGAUAGGCGAAGCGUGCGAUUGGAUUGCACGUCUAAGCAGUAAGGCUGAGUAUUAGGCAAAUCCGGUACUCGUUAAGGCUGAGCUGUGAUGGGGAGAAGACAUUGUGUCUUCGAGUCGUUGAUUUCACACUGCCGAGAAAAGCCUCUAGAUAGAAAAUAGGUGCCCGUACCGCAAACCGACACAGGUAGUCAAGAUGAGAAUUCUAAGGUGAGCGAGCGAACUCUCGUUAAGGAACUCGGCAAAAUGACCCCGUAACUUCGGGAGAAGGGGUGCUCUUUAGGGUUAACGCCCAGAAGAGCCGCAGUGAAUAGGCCCAAGCGACUGUUUAUCAAAAACACAGGUCUCUGCUAAACCGUAAGGUGAUGUAUAGGGGCUGACGCCUGCCCGGUGCUGGAAGGUUAAGAGGAGUGGUUAGCUUCUGCGAAGCUACGAAUCGAAGCCCCAGUAAACGGCGGCCGUAACUAUAACGGUCCUAAGGUAGCGAAAUUCCUUGUCGGGUAAGUUCCGACCCGCACGAAAGGCGUAACGAUUUGGGCACUGUCUCAACGAGAGACUCGGUGAAAUCAUAGUACCUGUGAAGAUGCAGGUUACCCGCGACAGGACGGAAAGACCCCGUGGAGCUUUACUGUAGCCUGAUAUUGAAAUUCGGCACAGCUUGUACAGGAUAGGUAGGAGCCUUUGAAACGUGAGCGCUAGCUUACGUGGAGGCGCUGGUGGGAUACUACCCUAGCUGUGUUGGCUUUCUAACCCGCACCACUUAUCGUGGUGGGAGACAGUGUCAGGCGGGCAGUUUGACUGGGGCGGUCGCCUCCUAAAAGGUAACGGAGGCGCUCAAAGGUUCCCUCAGAAUGGUUGGAAAUCAUUCAUAGAGUGUAAAGGCAUAAGGGAGCUUGACUGCGAGACCUACAAGUCGAGCAGGGUCGAAAGACGGACUUAGUGAUCCGGUGGUUCCGCAUGGAAGGGCCAUCGCUCAACGGAUAAAAGCUACCCCGGGGAUAACAGGCUUAUCUCCCCCAAGAGUUCACAUCGACGGGGAGGUUUGGCACCUCGAUGUCGGCUCAUCGCAUCCUGGGGCUGUAGUCGGUCCCAAGGGUUGGGCUGUUCGCCCAUUAAAGCGGUACGCGAGCUGGGUUCAGAACGUCGUGAGACAGUUCGGUCCCUAUCCGUCGUGGGCGUAGGAAAUUUGAGAGGAGCUGUCCUUAGUACGAGAGGACCGGGAUGGACAUACCUCUGGUGUACCAGUUGUCGUGCCAACGGCAUAGCUGGGUAGCUAUGUGUGGACGGGAUAAGUGCUGAAAGCAUCUAAGCAUGAAGCCCCCCUCAAGAUGAGAUUUCCCAACUUCGGUUAUAAGAUCCCUCAA